RNAcentral lists this ribosomal RNA (497 nucleotides) under uncultured bacterium. RNAcentral describes it as "partial 16S ribosomal RNA". It matches the Rfam family "Bacterial small subunit ribosomal RNA", at positions 28 to 507 of the family's 1533-position model. The record is from RNAcentral.
GACGAACGCUGGCGGCGUGCCUAAUACAUGCAAGUUGAGCGCUGAAGGUUGGUACUUGUACCAACUGGAUGAGCAGCGAACGGGUGAGUAACGCGUGGGGAAUCUGCCUUUGAGCGGGGGACAACAUUUGGAAACGAAUGCUAAUACCGCAUAAAAACUUUAAACACAAGUUUUAAGUUUGAAAGAUGCAAUUGCAUCACUCAAAGAUGAUCCCGCGUUGUAUUAGCUAGUUGGUGAGGUAAAGGCUCACCAAGGCGAUGAUACAUAGCCGACCUGAGAGGGUGAUCGGCCAGAUUGGGACGGAGACACGGCCCAAACGACUACAGGAGGCAGCAGUAGGGAAUCUUAGGCAAUGGACGAAAGUCUGACCGAGAAACGCCGCGGGAGUGAAGAAGGUUUUCGGAUCGUAAAACUCGGUUGGUAGAGAAGAACGUUGGUGAGAGUGGAAAGCUCAUCAAGUGACGGUAACUACACAGAAAGAGACGGCUAACUACGUG